UACGGGGGGAGCAAGCGUUGUUCGGAUUUACUGGGCGUAAAGGGCGCGUAGGCGGUCAGCACAAGUCAGUUGUGAAAUCUCCGGGCUUAACUCGGAAAGGUCAACUGAUACUGUGCGACUAGAGUGCGGAAGGGGCAACUGGAAUUCUUGGUGUAGCGGUGAAAUGCGUAGAUAUCAAGAGGAACACCUGAGGUGAAGACGGGUUGCUGGGCUGACACUGACGCUGAGGCGCGAAAGCCAGGGUAGCAAACGGG
This 254-nucleotide ribosomal RNA is filed under the name uncultured bacterium. RNAcentral describes it as "partial 16S ribosomal RNA". It matches the Rfam family "Bacterial small subunit ribosomal RNA", at positions 524 to 776 of the family's 1533-position model. The record is from RNAcentral.